GACGAGGGGGGCAAGCGUUGUUCGGAAUUACUGGGCGUAAAGGGUGCGUAGGCUGUUAGCAAAGUCAAUUGUUUAAUUUUGUGGCUCAACCACAAGUCUGCAAUUGAUACUGGUUAACUUGAGGAUGGAAGAGAGAAGUGGAAUUCUCGGAGUAGCGGUUAAAUGCGUAGAUCUCGAGAGGAACACCGGUGGCGAAGGCGGCUUCUUGGUCCAUUUCUGACGCUGAGGCACGAAAGCGUGGGGAGCAAACAGG
RNAcentral lists this ribosomal RNA (253 nucleotides) under uncultured bacterium. RNAcentral's name for it is "partial 16S ribosomal RNA". It matches the Rfam family "Bacterial small subunit ribosomal RNA", at positions 524 to 776 of the family's 1533-position model. The record is from RNAcentral.